This is a long non-coding RNA of Meleagris gallopavo (turkey), 639 nucleotides long. The record is from Ensembl. NCBI's taxonomy places the organism in Eukaryota, Metazoa, Chordata, Aves, Galliformes, Phasianidae.
AGAAAGCCUGUACUGCUAGCCGGGCGUCCGAAUCAACUAAUGGCUCAUCGUGAUGGUGGGGUGAGGGCAAGCUCAUUUAAGUUUGGAAGGAGGCAGCAGCUGCCGUGAUUGGGUGCAAAUCUCUCACGGUUUCCUCAGCGCGGGGCACCUGCGGAGUGCAACGGCUGCGCCGUGCUCCGGCUGCUCACGUGCUCGGGUCACUUCUCAGCGAGGCGCGCAGCUGCACGGUCGGGCUCAGAAGUACCACUUGUGAAAUCUCACAAAGUUUUCCCUCCGUAUUUGUUCUGUGAAGCAGUUCUUAACCUGUGAGAGUGAGCCUCCUGGCAUCUCUGUCAGCCUUUACUGGAGAAAAGCACCUUGGGCACUCGGUGGGAGUUGUGUUGGUGUGUGCUGCGAGGAGGACGCCCGGGGGCUGACCGGAGGGCAUGGCUGGAAGCUGCUGCUGCAGAGCUGGUACCUGUCUGUUCUGCACUGCUGGGCCCAGGAGUUUCGUUUUCUGAGAACAGUAGAAAUACAGUCCUCAGCUGUACAGUUUCGCAGUCGUGUUCUGCACCUGAAUAAACUACCCUUCAUAUUAGAAUAUCUGUCACACGCAGCUAGAAAGGAAUAUUUGCCUCUCGGAUGGCAGCAGAAUCUAAG